GCUGGAGCCGCGCUUGAGCAUGCGCGGACAGAGCAGAGAGCGUGAAUGUUCGGUGAAACCCCUGGCAAGUUCCCCGCUUCUACCCUCUUCCGAGAGUCCUGUGCUUUUGGCAUAGUCAUUGUUGUUUAGUGAGGUUAAUAUAACAGUUCCGUGAGAGCAGAGAGUUUUACAAAUAAUGAGUCACUGCGUCACUAGAGCUUCAUCGCAGCAUCCCUGUCCUGGCUUCACACAGUAAAAUUAAUAAAACGUUGGUUUUCAAAGUGUUUUCAUAUCUAUUUUCUCAUUUGAUCUUCUCCACUUUGUCAGAGCCACAGAACGGAUUAAGAGCCGCAUUUAACAAAAGACUAAAAUACUUGAAUACUGAAGCCCAGCCAUCUCUCCAAUUUAGGUUUAGGACUUCCCUGGUGCCGCAGUGGUUAAGAAACCACCUGCCAAUGCAGGGGACAUGGGUUUGAUCCCUGGUCCAGGAAGAUCCCACAUGCCGCAGAGCAACUAAGCCCGUGUGCCACAGUUACUACUGAGCCUGUGCUCUAGAGCCUGCGAGCCACAACUGCGCCUAGAGCCCAUGCUCCACAACAAGAGAAGCCACCGCAAUGAGAAGCCCACGCACUGCACUGAAGAGUAGCCCUGGUUCGCUGCAACUAGAGAAAAGCCCGCGGGCAGCAACGAAGACCCAACGCCGCCAUAAAUAAAUAAAUAAAUAAAUAAAUAAAUAAUUUUAAAAAGAAGACCCAAAACAUACACAUAAUUUAAAAAGUAAAAAAAAAAAAAUGUAUGUUUACCAACAACUCUUGUGUUGGGGACCUUUCUGUGGGAUAAUUUGCCCACAUACAUUAAGUAUCAGAAUUGUCAUCUCAGACGUGGUAUGUUCCUAAAGUCUCUCUCAAUUUUAGGGACAAGCGGGGUGGUUUAAAAUACUGAUUUUUUAAAAAAUUCAGGUAUUCAGUUUGCCUAAAAAUAAAGUCUGUUGUGGAAUAACUGCUGAA
Molecule: long non-coding RNA, 986 nt
Organism: Orcinus orca (killer whale)
Lineage: Eukaryota; Metazoa; Chordata; Mammalia; Artiodactyla; Delphinidae
Exons: 2
Source: RefSeq, a predicted model, not a curated record